Molecule: ribosomal RNA, 239 nt
Filed under: uncultured Glomeromycotina
Lineage: Eukaryota; Fungi; Glomeromycota
Description: partial large subunit ribosomal RNA
Source: RNAcentral
UUGAAAGGGAAACGAUUGAAGUCAGUCGCGUCUUCCGAGAUUCAGCCUUGCUUCUGCUUGGUGUACUUCUCGGUCGACGGGUCAACAUCAGUUUCGCUCGGUGGAUAAAGGCGGGAGAAAUGUGGCAUCGUUCGCGAUGUGUUAUAGUCUCUCCGUUGCAUACACCGAGCGGGACUGAGGAACUCAGCACGCCUUCUCGGAGGUCGGGGUUCGCCACGUUCGUUAAGGAUGUUGACGUA